UUCUUCGGGGCAGGGUGAGAUUCCCUACCGGCGGUAAAGUCCGCGACCACCCGCAGGGUGAAUGAACCGGUGAGAUUCCGGUACCGACAGUAUAGUCUGGAUGAGAGAAGAA
RNAcentral lists this non-coding RNA (112 nucleotides) under bovine gut metagenome. Its description in RNAcentral is "FMN riboswitch (RFN element)". It matches the Rfam family "FMN riboswitch aptamer (RFN element)". From Rfam's summary of the family: The RFN element is a highly conserved domain that is found frequently in the 5'-untranslated regions of prokaryotic mRNAs that encode for flavin mononucleotide (FMN) biosynthesis and transport proteins. The record is from RNAcentral.